AGAUGGACUCGCGUCUGAUUAGAUAGUUGGCGGGGUAACGGCCCACCAAGUCGACGAUCGGUAGCCGGCCUGAGAGGUUGACCGGCCACAUUGGGACUGAGACACGGCCCAGACUCCUACGGGAGGCAGCAGUGAGGGAUAUUGCUCAAUGGAGGAAACCCUGAACCAGCAACGCCGCGUGAGGGAAGACGUUUUUCGGAUUGUAAACUUCUGUCAUCUGUGAAGAUAGUGACGGUAGCAGAGGAGGAAGCUCCGGCUAACUACGUGCCAGCAGCCGCGGUAAUACGUAGGGAGCGAGCGUUGUCCGGAUUUACUGGGUGUAAAGGGAGCGUAGGCGGCUGUGCAAGUCAGAAGUGAAAUCCAUGGGCUUAACCCAUGAACUGCUUUUGAAACUGUAGAGCUUGAGUGUAGUAGAGGUAGGCGGAAUUCCUGGUGUAGCGGUGAAAUGCGUAGAUAUUGGGAGGAACACCAGUGGCGAAGGCGGCUUACUGGGCGUUAACUGACGUUGAGGCUCGAAAGCACGGGUAGCAAACAGGAUUAAAUACCCUGGUAGUCCAUGCCGUCAAACGAUGAUUAUUAGGUGUGGGGGGUCUGACCCCCUCCGCGCCGGCGUUAACACAAUAAGUAAUCCACCUGGGGAGUACGACCGCCAAGGUUGAAACUCAAAAGAAUUGACGGGGGCCCGCACAAGCAGCGGAGUAUGUGGAUUAAUUUGAAGCAACGCGAAGAACCUUACCAGGUCUUGACAUCCAACUAACGAAGCAGAGAUGCAUUAGGUGCCCUUCGGGGAAAGUUGAGACAGGUGGUGCAUGGUUGUCGUCAGCUCGUGUCGUGAGAUGUUGGGUUAAGUCCCGCAACGAGCGCAACCCUUUCUGUUAGUUGUUACGCAAGAGCACUCUAGCAGGACUGCCGUUGACAAAACGGAGGAAGGUGGGGAGGACGUCAAAUCAUCAUGCCCCCUAUGACCUGGGCCUCACACGUACUACAAUGGCCAUUAACAGAGGGAAGCAAGCCCGCGAGGUGGAGCAAAACCCUAAAAAUGGUCUCAGUUCGGAUCGUAGGCUGAAACCCGCCUGCGUGAAGUUGGAAUUGCUAGUAAUCGCGGAUCAGCAUGCCGCGGUGAAUAAGUUCCCGGGCCUUGCACU
RNAcentral lists this ribosomal RNA (1145 nucleotides) under uncultured bacterium. RNAcentral's name for it is "bacterial SSU rRNA". It matches the Rfam family "Bacterial small subunit ribosomal RNA", at positions 223 to 1387 of the family's 1533-position model. The record is from RNAcentral.